AAGUGGGGGAAAGAAAGAAAAAAGAAAAAAGAAAGAAAGAAGAAAAGGAAUUCUUGAGAGUUCGAGACAUAGAAAACACACUUACUUGCUCGUUUUUGCUUGCGCU
RNAcentral lists this non-coding RNA (106 nucleotides) under Stygamoeba regulata. Lineage: Eukaryota; Discosea; Stygamoebida. The record is from RNAcentral.